RNAcentral lists this unclassified non-coding RNA (354 nucleotides) under uncultured fungus. RNAcentral's name for it is "partial contains small subunit ribosomal RNA, internal transcribed spacer 1, and 5.8S ribosomal RNA". The stretch from base 1 to 73 matches the Rfam family "Eukaryotic small subunit ribosomal RNA", at positions 1759 to 1831 of the family's 1831-position model. Lineage: Eukaryota; Fungi. The record is from RNAcentral.
GCAAACUUGGUCAUUUAGAGGAAGUAAAAGUCGUAACAAGGUUUCCGUAGGUGAACCUGCGGAAGGAUCAUUACAGUGCUCGUCGGGACGUCCCACAAAAACGUCCCGCACCUGCCCACCCGUGUCUACCUUUCCUUUUGUUGCUUUGGCGGGCCCGGCAGCUAGACGUACCCACGCCUACCUGCGACCGGCGGACCAGCCGCGUACCCACGCGGCCCCGCUGGGUAGCGCCCGUCAGAGGCUCAUAUGAACCCUUUUUUGUGAAUGCAGUGCAGUCUGAGCUGAUUAGCAGAAAUGCAAGUCAAAACUUUCAACAACGGAUCUCUUGGUUCUGGCAUCGAUGAAGAACGCAGC